Long non-coding RNA from Coffea eugenioides, 1321 nucleotides. RefSeq lists it as uncharacterized. The transcript is spliced from 4 exons. The record is from RefSeq and is a predicted model, not a curated record. Lineage: Eukaryota; Viridiplantae; Streptophyta; Magnoliopsida; Gentianales; Rubiaceae.
CCUUCCCCUUUGGACUUUCAAUUGGAUAUGAGAAUAUAAGCAACUUUAUAUUGCAAGUUGUCCAAACAUGCUUGUUUUCCAGGAUAUACAAGUUUUUUCUUCUAAGUUUCCGGUAUUUUACUUGCUUGAUCAGGCCAGAUUAUUGAAGAACUUGAGCACAGGAUUGUAAUGAUCGAAUCUUCAUUAAGCAGGUUUGGAAUGAUGUUGGAUUCUGUUCAGAGUAACAUCAUCCAAGUCAAUGAAGGAACAAACGAAUUGGUGUUUGAGGAUAAGCAUUCAAUUCUACUACCUCCUUGUGUUUCUGUAUUUUGUGCGGACCAGAUCCAUGGAGCUUUACAUGUUCUUUAACUUUCAUUUUUAUGACUUUUAUUACCUGUUGAUGACUAAAACAUUCAGCUGCCCAAACUUCUUCUUCACUUUUCAGGCACUUAAUUCAAUCAAUUACCAGCAAAAAGAAACACUACAGAAUUUUCUUGAGAGGGGUAAAGAGUUCAGAGCUUCAUCACGGCGUUAUGUCCUUUUUUUAGCAUAGGUAAUGUUUUAUUUGGAUUGUUACAAGUUUUUGCAGAGGUCACUUAUUGCCAGCUUGUCAACUGCAAAUCGCUAUAAAUCUGAACAUUUGAAGAGACCAGAAAAUUGUGCCAUGGCCUAAGACUUUGCUUUGGUCGAGCCAAUGAAUUCCCUCUGCCACUAGCUUAUAAAAUGAAGCCACCCACGUUAUCCUUGCUACGCUACAUCAAAGGCUGGUGUGAAAGACUUCCUCGCUUCAUUCUAAACCAAUAUCAGGGACGUGGGGGACUCCAGUUAGAACAAAAAAAUAUCGAAGAUGAAGAGUAAAGUUAAGCCUUUGCUGCUAUCAGAACAAUUCACUGCAGAUGGACGCGGAGUACGCUUCCACUAUAGGUAUUGGUGGAGCUUUUGUAAUGUAAGUUGUAGUUAGGCUGCAUUGAAGAAUUAAUCUGUUCCGUUGGUAUCUGGGCAGUUGAAAAUGUUUGGCCUGUAAGAAAAUGUUCUCUAUUGCUGUACUUUUCCUCCAUCUGCUGACAAUCUACUAUCAAAAGGAGAUGAUGAGUGUGUAUGUAUGCAAGUUUUCUGCAGGAGGAAUUAGGUGUGAUGUCAAAAGCUCUGAAUCCACUUGAAAUUGAUCAAAACAUGCUUCAGGGAUAACGAGAAAGCAUAUUUUCAGGCUCCUUUUCCAUCAUUUAUGUCUUCAUUGGUCUUGAUUCUCCAUCUUUUGUACUUCUUACGUUCAGGUUUUAAUAAACUCUACUUGAGUUAGUUGGCCUGCUUAAUAUUGCAAAAUGACUGCUUUGCUGCUCCA